UCACUGUCAGAGUGAUACAAUGUGGAAAGAUUCCGCCAGCCAUUGAUGGCUUUGAAGAAGGAGGAAAGGGCCAUCAGCCAAGAAAUGCAGGCAGCCUCUAGUUGGAAAAGGCAAAUAAAGAAACAAACAAACAAAACAUAUUCUGCUCUUUCCAGAGCUUCUGGGAAGGAACAUAGGCUCCACAAAACUUGAUUUUAAUAUAGUGAGGGCUGUGUUGGACUUUCAACUCUAGAACCCUUAGGAUCAUUAAUUUGGGUUGCUUUAAGCCACUGAGUUUGCAGUAAUUUGUUACAGCAACAAUAGGAAACUAAUACCCUCAACCUUGGAGCCUAGGGUCUGGGAAAGGAGAUAGACCCAGGGUGCUAGAAUGCAGAGUAAAGAGGCUAUAAUAGGAUUAGUUCAGGUUGCUGAGAAAACACCCAGGAGAGCCCCUCAACCCAGACUUGGGCAUGAAGGGAACGUUUUCUCAUAGAAACUCCAUAAGGGAGGGACCAAUAUGGACCAAUGUCAGCAACACCCACCACUGUGCCUGAACGUACUGUGUCCAAAAAAUGUGUGUUGGAGGGAGGACAGAGGGAGGGAGAGAGGAAAGAAAAAUUUAAGAAGAGACAAAACUAAGGCCUGAUGGAUUAAGUAGGGCUUACGAUGGGUGAAUAGAAAGCAAGGGAAAGUGUUUCAGGCCGAAGGGACAACAUGGGCAGUGACCUGAGGGCUGUUUAAAGAACUAAAUAAAGUUUAGUUUGGCUGGGACACAGUGCCCCACAGGGAAUGGGGAAAGAUGAGUAGGGGCACGUUACAGAUCAUAAGGGGCCUUAUCAGCUAUAAUUAGACUCUUGGCCUGUAUCCUGUAUGCAGCUGGUGCUCUCUCUCUCUCUUUCUCCUCUGCUUUUGCGUUUCUCUCUCCCUUUUCUCUUGGUUUACACUUUAAUAUCUCUUACAUGGAGUGUGUAUAUGCCACCUCAGUUAAGUCAAAGAGAGCUUACAGAAAUAUUUCAUCCUUGUCUUGUGGUCUCUGUUGCAGUCACUCCCUCCAAUCUAGCAAUGCUUUACGACCUAACUCAUAAAUUUUCAUUUUGGAUAAGAUGGGAUGGUCCCGUAGAUGAAGGCACUGGUCAGGUAAUCACACCUUCUGGGCUUACAAGUCCACACUCCUCUGUUUACCGUUUAGUAUCUCUGUAUUCUCUCGUUUCCCAGUCUGUAAAUGGGGCCAGGGGAGUACUCACCUCAUGGGCCUACUGUGAGGAUCAAAUGAGGAAGUCCCUGAAAAAGCUUUCAAAGCACGAGGUAUAUACCAAGUGGCAGGUAUCUGCUGAAAUCAUCACUCUUUGCAUAGCUAUUCUCAGCCAGCCAUAACCAGCCAUGCCAAUAAGUGUCCAUAAGCCUUGAGGUCAAUCUCACCAUUCUGCAUCCGGAGAAACUGAUAUACAUGGACCGCGUCAAUGAGCGCCCUUGCUCUCUAGCUUCCAGUUGAUUCCAGCCUAUGGGAGGCAUCAGCAGAAGGCCCGGAGAGUGAAAUUGGGAUAUUUGGUUCUCUCUGGGUUUCCGGAGCUUUCCUUUAUCAAAUGUGGCCUCUUCUCAGGAGGUCCUCUCCCUACACCUACCCUUUUGGUUCCAGGAAAUUCCCCCUCUUCUUUCCCUCUUAAGAACCUGUGAUGAUAAUGGCUUUUCCACCCGUGCAAGUCCCAAGGUUUCCUUCUUAACCAAAUGACCCUGUUGGAGCAUGGUCUCUGUUCUUGUAGGAAUGCUGACCAAGACAACGUUCUUUUAGGUAUGGGGUCUCCUGGCUUAACAGGACAAUAAGACCUCAUCCCGUGAAAUGAGGAAGCCCUUGUCCCUCUGGUCAACUGUGGAACCUUCACUGAGGUGACCACGUUGUCACAAGACCACUGCUUUUUCAUUCCCCAGGAAGCUUUGAAAGUGUCAACAUGAUUGGUAAUCUUAGUAUGUAUGAUGACCAUACCCCAAACCAAGUGGCCCAGGCAGAAAACUGGGUUGCUGUGAGUUUCCAGAGGCCAAGGGGCCAUGAGUCAGAGUGACUGGCAUGAGCCCAUAAGGGGAAGUAAGUCAGUAGAUCUAGAGACCACUGUAGUCACCCUCUUGUCCUGAGCCGCGUCCAUAGAGAGUUAUGUGGUCCCUUCAUCUAUAUGCUUCUCCAGCCCCAUACUUAAGUGGACUCUGCUGCUGGCCACAUCACUGAAAUGGGACUUCCAAGUGGCCUUCUCCUGCUGUAGCCCCGGAGUGACAGUGUGUAGGACCCAACCCCAGCCUUCCUCCUUCUGCUCCUCACCCACAUCCCAAACAUUGUUUUCUUUCUUAUUCAAACCACGUCUCUUUUUUGUCAGACUGAGAGCUCAUUUUGGUCAGGGAGUGAGUCUUUCUAUUCUUGGCGCCCAACUCAGAGUCUGCCUUAUAGAGAGUCCUGCGUCUAGCAUGGGGGUUACCAACACAGGCUCUGGCGGCAGAGAGAUGAAUCAGUUUUUAUCCAUCACUUCUCAAGUUACUCUAUUAGCAUCUUCCAAUGCGAGUCUUGAUACUACUGACUUUAGGUAAGAUAUUUCAUCUUCCCGAGCUGUACUUUCCUCAUAUGUAAAAUGGAAAUUUACCCUUCUCCUAGGGUUGUUAUGGGAAUUAAGUGAGAUUAGCAUAUACAAAGACCUCAGCAUAUUAGCAAACAAGAAACCAUCCUUGUUAUGUUACAUGGUGGAUAACACUUUAUGAAAUUAGAGACCCACAUGCCUGCUUAUCUGUGAUAUCAAAAUAGACAAGAACACAAGAAAUAUCAGAUGAUCUGAUCGAACUAGAAGCAGCAUCACAUUUGCAUUAGUAUAUCCACCUUUGCCCGUGGAGCAGCAGUUUCCUGUUAACAUGAGAGACCUGGGUUUUGAGGAGGGCUGCGGGUCUCAGAUUGGCCGACUCCAGGUUGCCAAGCGGAGGCAUGUCACAACACAUCCAUAAGCCUCUGUUUCCACAUCUCCAAAAUUGGUAUCCACUCAAGGUUAUUUUCUCAUUGGAUGAUAAUUGAGUACUCACUAUGUGUCUGACAUUAUUCUAAGCUGUAAAUAUAGCCAUAAACAAGACAGGCUCACCCUGGCCCACAUGGAACUUAUAUUUUAGUUGGGGAAGGUGCAGGAAGAGAUAAUUAGUAAACAAGUAAAUAAAUAAACAAACCAAUAAGCUAAUUUCAGUUGUUGAUAAGUGCUGUGGGUAGGAUGAAAGAGGAUGCUGGAAUAUAGAAUUACCCUGUUAUGGCUGGAUUGGGCUGGCUUCCCUGACUAAGAUGGUCAGGGUGAGACUCUCAGAGUAGGUGACUUUUGAGCUUAAAUAAGAAUGGAAAGAAAGAGCACAUCAUGGACAGAUCUGGGGGGAAAAUGUUCCAGGCAGAUGAACAGCCAGAGCAAAAUUCAGAGAUGGAACAAACCUGUAUCCUGAAGCCAUUAAAAAUAGAGCAGUGUGGCUGGAGCACAGCGGAGGAGACAAGGUCAGAAGGUCACGAGGAUUAAAUGAGGUGGUGUGAUUGAACUGCCCAGAACGACGACGCAGGAGGUGUGCUUGAUGGGUGCUGUUUUUUUUCCCCAAACCUCAUCUAUACCUCGAGGACCUAUUGCGUGUCAGUAUAAGAUGCAAAAAUCAGUAAAUCAUAUUGCUAGCUCUAGGGAGCUCAUGGUCUAAUAGAGGAGGAAAGACAUCCACUUUAAAAAUAAACACAAAAAUUUUUUAAAUAAAAAUAAACCAAGUCAAAACCAGGCAAAUGAUAAGACCUAAAAACAAGUGAUAGUAUUUGGGCAAUGAUGUAAAGAUGAUAGAAUAGAUAUAGAUACAGAUGUCAAUAUAAAGGUUGGAUGUGAGUAUAGAUGUUGGGUGUGGAUGUGGAGGUUGGAUAUGGAUGUUGAUAUUGGAUGUAGAUACAGGUAUAGAUGUUGCAUGUGGCUGUGGAUGUUGGAUGUGGACUAGGUAUUGGAUGUGAAUGUGGAUAAUGAAUGUGGAUGUAGCUAAUUGGAUGUGGUUGUGAAUGUUGGAUGCUGGAUAUGGGUGUGGAUUUGUAUAUUAUAUGUAUAAUAGAAUAAGUGACUAAAUGAGUGAAUAAAUAUAAAGGAGGCAGAGAAUCCUGAGGUCGAUGGCUGAGGGGAAAUCUUCCUACAAAAGGCAGAGGCGGACAGAGGUUGUGAUAGAGAAUAUACGUUUACCAACAGAAGACACCAGCUGGGCUGGAAGAGAGGGUUCCUAUAGGGAAGUGAUAGCAGGAAAGUAGGCAGAGGACCAAUUGUGUAGAAUGUGGGAUUUGCCCUGUGGACCUGUCAUGUUAUUUAUAUUUGUACAAUCAAUAGACAUUUCUAUAGCAUGUGAAUGGACAAAGCAUGUUUACACUGGACCUGAGUUUCUGUGAGCAUAUUUUAUUUCCCCAAUUUCCUCAUGGGAAAGCAGAAGCACAGGAAAUGUCUUCUACUUGCCCUUUCUCUGUGACCGUUUUGAGGUCAGUUAUUAUGUCUUAAAUUCAACCAUCAGUGAAACAUAAAAAGGCUCAUUCAGGCUUUGAUAGUGGAAAGAGGAUAGAGGAGCCCGUGGUGAUGUUAAGAGUGUCAUAAAUUUGCUUCCUUAUGAUAAAUAUUUUUAAUGUUAAAAUCCAAAUAUAAAACAAAAAUAAGGAAGGUUCAAAAAAUAAAGUUAUUAUAAAUGUCAAAAUUGGGGUGUCCCAGGAACAUAAAUCUGAAGACUGUGAGGACCCUCAUAAUUUCUUUCUUUCUUUCUCUCUUUCUUUCUUCCUUCCUUUCACUCUCUCUCCCUUUCUUUCUUUCUCUUGCCUAACCUGUGGCAAGUGGAGGUUCCCAGGCCAGGGAUCAAACCCCUGCCACAGCAGUGACCCAAGCUGCUACAGUGACAGCGCUGGAUCUUUAACCCACUGCACCACAAGAGAACUCCGGGACCCUCAUGAUUUCUAUCAGUGAAGUAGCCAUUUGAUUCUGUGCAGCUCCAUGGUCAGAACCAAUCACAGAAGUAAACUUGAGAACUCCCACACAAAUGAUCUUCUUGUGGAACUGUGUUUGGCAAAGGACGCUCUGGGAAAAGCUAAAACAUGCUAUUGAACAUGGCCAGAAGGAUUUAAACUUGAACACUGUUUAAAGCAGGGGUUGCCAGUUGUCUACUAGAACUGCAGAAAAGAUUUUAAUAAUAGACUCUGGAACACGCAGUUUUGAGCAACAUAACUUGUCAAUGAAAUUUUUAGGUUGAAGUAGUUGCAAAUUAUGUCACUAAAAUUACCAUAAAAAUUGAGCCAAUCUAAGGCUUAUGGUCUGUGAGACAAUUACAUCUCUGUAGUCAUCAGCUCAAAAUAGAAUUUUAGAAGUGUUGAUAUUAAGCUGCCCUUGCUGCCAAUAACUAGAUGACUUGCUGGUUGAAGGAAUAACUUCAGCCAAAGAGAAGACUCUUUUCCCCCAGUCUCUAUGGGAAUGUGGCAUAGGGCACGUUUGUGAAUUAGCAUCCAACUAUGAUAAGUAGGAUCCAUUGCUGGUCUUUGUAGCCCAGAGGUCUCCAUGAAAAGGACCUCAAAAAAUACUGGGUGAUGGUGAUGCCAAAAGGUUGCAGCUGUUUUAGAAAAAGCCAGAAUUAAGAUGGCAGAAUCUUGGUGUUUUUGUUUGUUUGUUUACAGAAUGUAUUAAUUUGGAAGAGUUGUUAAAAUUAGAGAGUGAGUCCAUUUUGCUUUCCCUUGCUGCGAUCAAAUUGGUUUGCCUUUGAGGCAGGUGAAAGCUAAGCGCUUGGCCCUGGUAUAGGUCUUGAGUUAGCCCCGUGCCCUGCGAUUUGACAGAGUCUGUCGUUCCCACCCUCGCCCUGAAAUCACUGCAGAGUUAGUCAUCUUCUAGGAUUUGGCACUCAGACCAGGAUUUCAAACGGCUCUAGGACACACUUCCUACAUGUGCACCUAAAAGGCCCCAAACCCAAAUGUCCUGUUUCCCCCAAGAGCAUCUAAACCAAGAGCAGCCCCAAGUGGGAUGCCCAGAGUCUGAGGAGUAGAAAAAUAGGACUCCCUUUUCCCUCUCAUAAGUUUUGUAAGGUUCAAAAAAAAGCAGGUGCAAAUCACCACUGAAUUUGAAACCCCCAAGGAAGCCAGAGCAACUCAACAACAAGAAAAAGCUUAUUACAGCAAAACCUGGAGAAAAACUUCAGCUGCCGUAUCUCCAAACAAUUAUCGACUCCCUGGCUGAUUUCAAAGCCCCCUGAGGACCUCAUGUAGAUUGAAUCCUCAUGAUCUCGCCUCAUGUGAGGACUGAGUGGGCUAUUCUUGAGCCAAACGUCUGCAGUUGUGGGUAAAUAUAUUGAUAUCCUAGCAACUUGCGAAAGCCACAGUACCCUAGACAAGGGCUUGUUUUCAUUUUUUUGUUAACAAGAGAGGAGGUUUGAGGUGGGAGCCUGGGAUGUUUUGAGCCAAGCAAAGAGGUUCUUGGUAAACAUACAAAUUCUCUUCCUCUGGUCAUUCUUGGCUGCCCCUUGCAAGUUGGAGGCAUCCUCCCAU
This 6505-nucleotide long non-coding RNA is filed under the name Sus scrofa (pig). RNAcentral describes it as "lncRNA (ENSSSCG00000052521.1)". The record is from RNAcentral. Lineage: Eukaryota; Metazoa; Chordata; Mammalia; Artiodactyla; Suidae.